Molecule: microRNA precursor, 204 nt
Filed under: Leersia perrieri
Lineage: Eukaryota; Viridiplantae; Streptophyta; Magnoliopsida; Poales; Poaceae
Description: MIR812 microRNA precursor family
Rfam family: MIR812 microRNA precursor family
Source: Rfam by way of RNAcentral
AAUGUUUGUCACCGUUGACUUUUUGGCACAAGUUUGACCCUUCGUCUUAUUUGAAAAUUUUAUAUAAUUAUUAAUUCUUUUUCUAUCAUUUGAUUCAUUAUUAAAUAUAGUUUCAUGCAUACAUAUAGUUUUACAAAUUUUACAAAAGUUUUUGAAUAAGACGAAGGGUCAAACUUGUAUAAAAAGUCAACGGUGACAAACAUU